CUGAAAGUACAAAAGCAGGAAACGAGAAACGGAGUUCCAAUCGACGCGCUCAGCUCAGUGGAAAAGAUUAUGAUGAUGACGCGCCAGUGGAAGCGGAAACGAAGAGUCGGAGAGUACAGAUCCACUGACGUUACAGCAGAAUCUGGUGCUUUUGGCUGCAGCAAGCAAAGCUACUUCUGCUUUUUCACUUUAGAGAUCAGCAAGCAGAUUGAUCUGAAUGGAGAGCUGAUAAGAAGUUAGGUGGAAAAAAAAGAUAAAAAGAUAUGUAUAGUUUGUAUACUGUGAUUCCUCUUAAGUCUGAAGCUUUUCCAACCAACAAGCUCUUAGCUUUCACCAUUUUUUUUUUCUUUUUAGUACAAAAGAAGAAGAAGAAUGGGAGAAGAAGUGUGGUUUGAGUUAGCUUUUGGUUGGUUGUUUAUUCCUGUAAAUUGACAUCCAUAUGAAUUUAUGGCAUGUUGGUGGUGAGA
Dendrobium catenatum is the source of this 467-nucleotide long non-coding RNA. RefSeq lists it as uncharacterized. The record is from RefSeq and is a predicted model, not a curated record. NCBI's taxonomy places the organism in Eukaryota, Viridiplantae, Streptophyta, Magnoliopsida, Asparagales, Orchidaceae. The transcript has 2 exons.